CGGAGACGCAGCGCACAGCUCAGUAACACGUGGCUAAUCUGCCCUUGGGACCGGAACACCCCCGGGAAACUGGGGCUAAUUCUCGAUAGGUGAAGAACUCUGGAAUGAGUCUUUGCCAAAAAGAUGCUAGAGUUAUGCUCUUUGGCAUCGCCCAAGGAUGAGGCCGCGACCGAUCAGGUUGUUGGUGAGGUAAUGGCUCACCAAGCCUUUUACCGGUGCGGGCCGUGAGAGCGGGAGCCCGGAGAUGGGCACUGAGACAAGGGCCCAGGCCCUACGGGGCGCAGCAGUCGCGAAAACUUUGCAAUACACGAAAGUGUGACAGGGCUAUCCCGAGUGCCAUCCGCUGAGGAAGGCUUUUACCCAGUCUAGAACGCUGGGGGAAUAAGGAGAGGGCAAGUCUGGUGUCAGCCGCCGCGGUAAUACCAGCUCUCCGAGUGGUGUGGAUGUUUAUUGGGCCUAAAGCAUCCGUAGCUGGCUAAGUUAGUCCCUUGUUAAAUCCACCGAAUUAAUCGUUGGAUUGCGGGGGAUACUGCUUGGCUAGGGGACGAGAGAGGCAGACGGUAUUUCCGGGGUAGGGGUGAAAUCCUAUAAUCCCGGGAAGACCACCAGUGGCGAAGGCUGUCUGCUAGAACGCGCCCGACGGUGAGGGAUGAAAGCUGGGGGAGCGAACCGGAUUAGAUACCCGGGUAGUCCCAGCUGUAAACGAUGCAGGCUAGGUGUUUGGACGGCCACGUGCCGUUCUAGUGCCGCAGGGAAGCUG
Molecule: ribosomal RNA, 760 nt
Filed under: uncultured archaeon
Lineage: Archaea
Description: bacterial SSU rRNA
Rfam family: Archaeal small subunit ribosomal RNA
Source: RNAcentral